Long non-coding RNA from Parasteatoda tepidariorum (common house spider), 1714 nucleotides. RefSeq lists it as uncharacterized. The record is from RefSeq and is a predicted model, not a curated record. Lineage: Eukaryota; Metazoa; Arthropoda; Arachnida; Araneae; Theridiidae.
UUUAUAAAUUAGUGAAUUAUUUUAAGUCGAAAAACUAUAUUAAUUUGAAACACUCUCUUAAAGCCACUGAAAUUAAAUCACUUAUCAUUCAUUUUUCCUCAUUUGACUAUAAUAUUGUUCAAGAUUCAAUCGACAAUGCUAUCUUACAAAAUUUACUCUACGCAACGUGAUGAAAGUAUUUUAAAAAUUAUUUUCACAAAAUAUAUUCACAUACCAUGUCUUAAGAUAAAUAGUGAAUCUAUGAUUAUUAACGGCAACGUUAAUGUCGCUAUCAUUAUCGACAUAGAUAAUUAUAGAAUACGAUAAUAUCUGAAGCAUUAUCGAUUACGACAUAAUCAUGAGUUAUGAUGAAUUUCAUUCGAAUUUCUGGUUCUAACAGUUGUAAAAAUAAAGUUAAAUUAGAAAAAUAUAGUGAACUAUUGUUAUUCCUUUUAAAUUCUGAUAUCACUAUAAGAACUUCAUAAAAAAACUGUUAUUCUGCCUAUAUUUUCUUUUAAUUAAACACGUGUUUUCUUGAUUUAGAGCAACCCUAACCCUGUGACCUUGUACAUUAGUAGACAAGACUUGUAGUUGUAUCCAUUUUAUCUUUACUUGUCCGAACACAAUGGAAUUUCAGUCCCUUCUUGCUCAAAAUGGAACAAGUUGUCAGGAAUUUGAAGCUUUCCCCGGGUGAGUGAAGGCCAUUCAGGUAUCUUCCCACGAAAAAUAGGAGGAAGUAAUGGAAUGCAGCACACCUGCAUGAAUAUACAAGAACGAGACCGUUUUGGUUUUACUUUCGCUGGUGUGAAGAAGUUCCCUGGCUUUCUUCCUUUUAUCUGUCUUUUCCCUUCUGUCGCCAAAUACACCAGAAAAGCAAUCAUCCGUCACGAUUUCAACCUAAAAUAGAGCAAUGCGAUGCAAUAAAAUGUCUGUGGAAUUAUUAAAGAACAUACGAAUGAAAAAUACAUAAUAAUUGCAUAUUUGUUUAAAAAAUGUAUAGUGCGAAACGGACCACCCUGAAUAACUUUCGAUAUAAUGACCGGAUCUUCACUUUCUAGGACUCCAUCUCAGUGAUUCAAGUGAUUUUAAUAUUAAUAUGAAUGCUAAGAAGUAAAAGAAUGUGGCGUCUUAAGAAACGUUCAUGUGUUGGAGUAGAAAACCAAACCAGUCCAUUGGACGAAAAGAGCCCAUGGAUGCAGUUUUUGCCACCCAGAACUUGAAAUACUGUGGCGUUUAUGAAAGUCUAUACAGAAAAUUAAAUGACUCACAGGGCAUAUUUGAAGGAAAGCUGUUCCUACGAAGAAAAGAAUUGAACGUGCAGUAUUUUCUUCCAAUAAGAACCCGCAAUUGGAGUUCCCGAUUAAACAGCUGUCGCUUCAAUCAGUAUUUGCACCUGGCCAAGGAUAUUUGAGGCACACGAUCAAGCGAAAGGUGAAAAGAAAAAAAAUGAAAUAAAAUAACUGGUCUACCAUCUGCGACAAAAGCGACUGGAAAAGUGUAGCAGCUACUGAUUACACCACAAACAGCUUGUUGCUGUCUGGUAUCAGAGCGUUCGCAAAGUAUAGAAAGUAGUUUGUAUUUAAAAGAAGAAAAAAAAUCUGGUAAAAUUACAACACUCUAUGGUAAUGGCACUUCUAGUAAAGAGAACCAGAAUUCUGGUAACAAAAACCAAAAUAUGCGUUAUUUAAAACAUUCAUUUGAUAUUUUUUCCGUUCAUGUGGUAACGGUUUACCGG